RNAcentral lists this ribosomal RNA (889 nucleotides) under uncultured Bacteroidales bacterium. Its description in RNAcentral is "bacterial SSU rRNA". It matches the Rfam family "Bacterial small subunit ribosomal RNA", at positions 358 to 1249 of the family's 1533-position model. Lineage: Bacteria; Pseudomonadati; Bacteroidota; Bacteroidia; Bacteroidales. The record is from RNAcentral.
GGAAUAUUGGUCAAUGGGCGUAAGCCUGAACCAGCCAAGUCGCGUGCAGGAUGACGGCCCUAUGGGUUGUAAACUGCUUUUAUACGAGGAUAAAGUUGGGAACGCGUUCCCAUUUGCAGGUAUCGUAUGAAUAAGGAUCGGCUAACUCCGUGCCAGCAGCCGCGGUAAUACGGAGGAUCCGAGCGUUAUCCGGAUUUAUUGGGUUUAAAGGGUGCGUAGGCGGCACUAUAAGUCAGCCGUGAAAUAUUUGGGCUUAACCCAUGUAAUGCGGUUGAAACUGUAGUGCUUGAGUUGACACGAGGUAAGCGGAAUUUGUGGUGUAGCGGUGAAAUGCUUAGAUAUCACGAAGAACUCCGAUUGCGAAGGCAGCUUACUGGAGUCAUACUGACGCUGAAGCACGAAAGUGUGGGUAUCAAACAGGAUUAGAUACCCUGGUAGUCCACACGGUAAACGAUGAAUACUCGCCGUAGGUCUUUUUUGGUCUGUGGCUUAGCGAAAGCGUUAAGUAUUCCACCUGGGGAGUACGCCGGCAACGGUGAAACUCAAAGGAAUUGACGGGGGCCCGCACAAGCGGAGGAACAUGUGGUUUAAUUCGAUGAUACGCGAGGAACCUUACCCGGGCUUGAAUUGCAAGAGAAGAUUCAGAGAUGAUGAUGCCCUUCGGGGCUCUUGUGAAGGUGCUGCAUGGUUGUCGUCAGCUCGUGCCGUGAGGUGUCGGCUUAAGUGCCAUAACGAGCGCAACCCCUUUUUAUAGUUGCCAUCGGGUAAUGCCGGGCACUCUGUGGAGACUGCCACCGUAAGGUGUGAGGAAGGUGGGGAUGACGUCAAAUCAGCACGGCCCUUACGUCCGGGGCUACACACGUGUUACAAUGGCGGGUACAGAGGGCAG